RNAcentral lists this long non-coding RNA (179 nucleotides) under Coturnix japonica (Japanese quail). RNAcentral describes it as "lncRNA (ENSCJPG00005008258.1)". The record is from RNAcentral. Lineage: Eukaryota; Metazoa; Chordata; Aves; Galliformes; Phasianidae.
UUCAUCUCAGUGACUGUGAAAUUCCUGAGGAUGUUAUUACUUUCAAGUCAGAUUAACAGAGUAAUUUCCAGGUUCCUUCUCUGCACCACAGGAGGAGAGGGAAAGGAUGGAGUCUAUGGUGGGUGACACAGUGCCUGCCCAUUAUGCACAGCUCUAAGCACAUCUUUAAAGAUGAGACC